GACGAACGCUGGCGGCGCGCUUAACACAUGCAAGUCGAGCGAUGAAAUUUCGACAGAUCCCUUCGGGGUGAAGAUGAAAUGGAUUAGCGGCGGACGGGUGAGUAACACGUGAGUAACCUGCCUUUGACAUUGGGAUAGCCUCGGGAAACUGGGAUUAAUACCAAAUGACACUAACUGAUCACAUGAUCAAUUAGUCAAAGAAAUUCGGUCAAAGAUGGACUCGCGGCUGAUUAGCUAGUUGGUGAGGUAACGGCCCACCAAGGCGACGAUCAGUAGCCGGCCUGAGAGGGUGAUCGGCCACAUUGGAACUGAGACACGGUCCAAACUCCUACGGGAGGCAGCAGUGGGGAAUAUUGCACAAUGGGGGAAACCCUGAUGCAGCGACGCCGCGUGAGCGAAGAAGGCCUUCGGGUCGUAAAGCUCUUUUAUGAGGGAAGAUAAUGACGGUACCUCAAGAAAAAGCCCCGGCUAACUACGU
This 478-nucleotide ribosomal RNA is filed under the name uncultured bacterium. RNAcentral's name for it is "partial 16S ribosomal RNA". It matches the Rfam family "Bacterial small subunit ribosomal RNA", at positions 28 to 506 of the family's 1533-position model. The record is from RNAcentral.